RNAcentral lists this long non-coding RNA (645 nucleotides) under Vigna radiata. RNAcentral's name for it is "long non-coding RNA (VRAD_LNC006994)". Lineage: Eukaryota; Viridiplantae; Streptophyta; Magnoliopsida; Fabales; Fabaceae. The record is from RNAcentral.
CAAAUCCAAAUUCUAACCCAAACUCUAUUUUUCUUUCUUUUUCAAAAUUUAUAAACCCUAGAUCUUCACUUCAAACUCAGAUUUACACCAAAAUAUUUCAUAUCUGCAUCAAAACAUCUCAGAUCUGUACUUAAGGAUCUCAGAUCUGCACCCAAAAAUUCCAGAUCCGCCUCUCGUCGCCGCUCGCGGUGUGGUUCAGCCUCUCAAGCUCUGCGAACGGGAUGAUACUGUUGCUGCUGGCUGGCUUCACCGUCGAGAUCACCUCCUGCUGGCUGGCUUCACCGUUGGCCGCGGGCAGAGCCGUGAAUGGUGGAAGAAGAAGCUAACAACAGUGACAACAGUACCGUGAGGUCUUUGCAGUGUGUGAUUCUUGUUAUUGGUAGGUGGGGAAAGAAGAAAGGAAAGCAAGUUUGAGAGAGAAGAGAGAAGAAGAAAGAAGAAAGAAGAAGGGAAGGAAGUGUGAGAGAGAAAAAUAAAGAAGAAGGAAAGGAAGUAUGAGAGAGAAGAAGAAAGAAGAAGGGACUUUUCACUUCCCUCUGCACGCCACCGUCAGCCAAAAUUAAAACAUUAUUUUAAUUUCAUAAAAUAGCUAGGGGUAAAAUUAGAAUUUUGGUUUUUAAACGGAUAGCGGGUACCCGCGGGUAC